GUGUCUAAUGUGUCUGUAUACUUAAAAUCUACUUAAUACAAAUCUUAACAGUUUUCAGCGUGAUAAAUAUAUAAUUCAUACAAAAUUAAUAUCAAAAUGGGACAACUGUCCUCUGCGUGGUCAAUACAUCAUACAAAAUUUAUAUUUGAGAACAUGAUCUGUUACCAAACGAUCAUAAAUUUCUCCAUCGUCUAGGAAUUCUAUCAUGUCCAUUAACAAAGUAAAGUUCAAAAUUAAUUUCAUCACGUUUACAUAUAUAUACCAAUAGAGUUGACACUGGACAUAGCCCGCAGUAAAAUUAACGAACAAUUUGCA
This 315-nucleotide long non-coding RNA is filed under the name Mytilus galloprovincialis (Mediterranean mussel). The record is from RNAcentral. Lineage: Eukaryota; Metazoa; Mollusca; Bivalvia; Mytilida; Mytilidae.